CUCCUUCAUUAACCACGUCAAGGGCAUGCUUCUUUACCAACAUGUUGCAAGCUAUAUAGUUAAUACCAAGAUCCUUCAAAAUAUAAUCCUUUCACUUUCACCUUAAAUAAUACUAAUAAAUACAUGUACACACUAUAUAAUAUAACCACUUAGUUGCACAAAUACUUUGAUUAUAUUAAUACACACAAUCUUACUAUAAUGUUUUUUGGUGGAGCUGGGGAACCCAACUAGGAUCACACAAUCAUGAAGAAAGGGAACAUAAGCUCGGAUCUCAAACUCACUAUUCCUGCAUCUGAUCAGGGUUCAUUAACCAUGUUCCGCUCUGACUCUGAAACCGGAACGUUCAAGGCUGGGGACUUGCUUGUUAACAAAGAAGGAGUUCGAAUUGUAUCUCAGAAUGAAGUGGAAGCUCCACCCCCAAUCAGGCCACUAGAUAACCAAUUAAGUUUGGCAGACAUUGAUACAAUCAAAGUGGUUGGAAAAGGAAAUGGAGGGAUAGUGCAAUUGGUUCAACACAAAUGGACUAAUCAGUUCUUUGCAUUAAAGGAAAUUCCAAUGAAUAUUGAGGAGCCUAUUCGCAAGCAGAUAGCACAAGAGCUAAAAAUUAAUCAAUCAGCACAAUGUCCAAAUGUUGUUGUCUGCUACCAUUCAUUCUAUCAUAAUGGUGUCAUAUCAAUCAUCUUAGAGUACAUGGACGGAGGGUCCUUAGAAGAUCUUCUCAACAAAGUUAAAACAAUUCCAGAGUCAUAUCUUGCUGUCAUCUGCAAGCAGGUGUUGAAGGGUUUAAUGUAUCUUCACCAUGAAAAACAUAUUAUCCACAGGGACUUAAAACCUUCUAACCUGCUGAUAAAUCAUAGAGGGGAGGUAAAGAUCACUGACUUUGGUGUAAGUGUAAUCAUGGAAAAUACAUCUGGUCAAGCAAAUACUUUCAUUGGCACAUACAGCUAUAUGUCUCCAGAGAGAAUUAUUGGUAAUCAGCAUGGCUACAACUACAAAAGUGAUAUAUGGAGUUUGGGACUGAUUUUGCUCAAGUGUGCCACGGGGCGGUUUCCGUAUACACCACCGGAUCAACGUGAAGGAUGGGAAAAUAUUUUUCAGCUCAUUGAAGCCAUCGUGGAAAAGCCUUCUCCUAGUGCUCCAUCAGAUGAUUUUUCUCCAGAAUUUUGUUCAUUUAUCUCAGCAUGGUAAAUAUUAAGUCUGCUUCAGCAACUAAAUCAUAUGAUCUCAUCCUUAAAAUAAUUGGGAUGCUUGAUGAGAGUACAAUUCAAAAGCAGUAAUCAUCCUUUUAUCAAGAAGUACGAGGAUUUGAAUGUGGAUCUUUCAGCUUAUUUCUCCAACGCAGGAGUUACACUUGCAACCAUAUAGAACAUGCUAUGUUCUAAUCCUGGGCUUUAUUCAAAGAUAUUACCCAAACUACAAGUGAAUGCGGGAUGUGCUCGUUUGGUUUGCAACCUUCCAAGUUUCCAUACUAAUAUUCUGGACUAUCUGAGACCCUUCCAUAUAAAAUACACAUGGUUCUGAACAAUGAGAGAUAUGGCACUAUAUGUCAACUUGGCAAAUGGAAAGUACUACUGUCACUUUAUAUGUAACUGCAAUUUGUAUUCAUUUACUUGUAGAGGAUCACCAAUUGCCUAUGACCAGAAUUUGCAGAAUGGAGCCAAGGAAACCAGCUGUUAAUAUUAUGUCAAAGAAUGUGUUUUGUUGUUAUGAUACAGUCAUAUAGACAAUAAUAAAACCUAAGAGAAAUUUAUGCCUGCUCAUUUGAAAAUAACUAAUAAUGUAACUCAAUGGAGGUUGCUUGCUU
This is a non-coding RNA of Cajanus cajan (pigeon pea), 1804 nucleotides long. The record is from RefSeq and is a predicted model, not a curated record. NCBI's taxonomy places the organism in Eukaryota, Viridiplantae, Streptophyta, Magnoliopsida, Fabales, Fabaceae.